RNAcentral lists this long non-coding RNA (1275 nucleotides) under Agrilus planipennis (emerald ash borer). RNAcentral's name for it is "uncharacterized LOC108745262, transcript variant X3". The record is from RNAcentral. Lineage: Eukaryota; Metazoa; Arthropoda; Insecta; Coleoptera; Buprestidae.
UUCCUUCUAAGUGUCGUGGUUGAAUUCCAUCCCUUAAUUUAAAGGAGCAAGUUAUCCCUGUUCAACUAUUACUGGGCCCCAAUUAUGGUGCCACAUGGGCAAUUUGAGCUUGCUGAAAAGAUUUUUUCUUUAAAGCGUAUGUACCAAGCAUUAUUACAUACAUUUAACCAUUUAAAUGAAGGGUUUGUCGUUUAAUCCUGAAUUCUUGGAACAGAAUAUAAUGAAUACUACUUGAUUCCAAUAUAAAUAACUGCAAAAAGGAUUAUUACUGAGUUUUAUUGGAAUGAUUCGUUGUUAUAAAGCGUUAAGUACCAUCAGCUGAUUCUUGGCAAACAAAAAGUUUACAAUGCUUGCAACUUGAGGGUUGCCUUGAAUGGAUGGUUAUUUUACAAGUAAUAUCAGGUGGAAUUGGAUUUGAAUCACGAACAAGAACAAUUUUGGUACCCUAAGGAAAUUUCAAUCUAUGCUUUGAUGACUGGGGAUUUAACAACACUUCCAUGUUUUACGUAUUUAUUUAGUAAUUUAUUUAUAUAUUUGUGGUCCAUUCCUUAAUAUUUUGUAUAAAUUUUACUGCUAUACACUUACUUUCGUUAUCAUACAAUUAUUUUGUUUUAGAAAAUUGAAAAGCUAGUAUAUAUACAUAUAUGGUGAUAAUAGAUUUGGAGUAGAAAUUAAAGAAGAAUUGAAGUGCAUUACUAAUUAAGGCAUAAUAAGAAAUGUUACGCAAUUUCUCCAUUACUAGCCAUUUCUGCAGUUCUAAAUGUUAAACUCUAGGCACAGCUUAUAUGAUUAAAAUUGAUUAACAAUAAUCGAUUCUCAGUAUAAUUUGGAAUAAGAAGAGUAUGGUCAUAUGAGUUUCUUACCAAUAAAACGGUUGUAUUAAAAUCUCAAAGUAUCCAAAAAGCUUUGCGUUUUUUAACAUAGUAAAUAUACUACACCUACACUCAAGUUCAAAAUGACGAGAAACACUUAAUUAUAGACUUUUGUGAGACUGUGGAUAAAAAUUAAUAUAAUGAUCAAGCUGAAACACUAAAAAUAUUUAUUUGGGGUACUACAAAUACUGUAUGGUAGUAUUUAUUCAAAGUCUGUCAUUAACACUAGAUCCUAUACACUGUGCUUAGAUUUUUUUAUAAUUUGGAAUUUCAGUAAUAAUUUACCAAACCAUCAUAAAAUUACAAACACUUCUCGAUUAGGUUUUGGUGUAUUUUAUAGAUUCACACCAUUAUUUAUUUAUUGUUUAUUUAUUUAUUUAUUUAAUCCACAAAAAUACUAGGA